ACAUGCCUACAACAUAGCAUUAAUGCACUGGAUCCCAUUAGAACUCCACAGUUAAGCGUGCUCAUGCUAGAGUAGUAUUGGGAUGGGUGACUGUUUGGGAAGUUCUAGUGUUUUACAUGCC
Molecule: non-coding RNA, 121 nt
Organism: Picea glauca (white spruce)
Lineage: Eukaryota; Viridiplantae; Streptophyta; Pinopsida; Pinales; Pinaceae
Source: Rfam